RNAcentral lists this long non-coding RNA (1634 nucleotides) under Homo sapiens (human). RNAcentral describes it as "HSALNT0305253". Lineage: Eukaryota; Metazoa; Chordata; Mammalia; Primates; Hominidae. The record is from RNAcentral.
UGCUGGAGAUACAGCAGUGAAAACAAAGAGCAAACCCUGACCCUUGUGAAGUGAAUUGUCAGGAGCUCAGCUGAGCUGGGAGAGAGAGAGCUCUCAGAGUAGCCGGUUACAGCAACAAGCCAGAGAUAAAAGAACCGAGCCUUUAAUCACUCACGGCAAUGGUAAAAGCAAGAGCUUAAAGCAGUUUUAUGGACCCUGAAGCAGGAGGGCAGCGGCGAGAGCUUGGAGUGGACAAGUCCUGGGUGAUGAGUCAGAGUAGGGGAAUGUAUCAUCAAGGUCUCCCUCCUCCCCGCAUAAGGAGGUCUUGGCAAAGGCAUCUGAAAAGGACGUCUACCCAAGGUCUGCCAGAGACUAGCAAUGAAGACUCUGGGGCCAGGAAUGUAAACAUAGGAAAAGCAUGACUGACCGGGAGAGCCUGAGUCCUUGACUGCAACUUCCUUCAGAGACCGUGACCCACUGGCUGUGCACCAAAUGUCUCUCAGAGAGCAGCAGCUUUCUGUAUGAGGUCUGCCAGGGUCUCACUCUGUUACCCAGCCUGGAGUGCAGUAGUAUGAUUAUAGCUCCCGGCAACCUCGAACUCCUCGGCUCAGAAGCCAGCCACUAUGCUAUAAAGAACUUUGGGCUGGACUACUGAAUGAAGAGAGGUCACCUGGAGAAGCCCUAGAAGAUGAGAAGUGAUUUUAUAUAUUCCAGCUGCAACUGAAUGGAACGUCUGUUGUGGGUUUCCUUUCCCUUUCUAACUAUUGCAUUCCUGGUGGGGAUGAGGGAGUUAGGGGUAUCUGGGGAGGAUCAGAAAACAGUUUACAGGUCUUUAGAUCCAGGAAAGCUGUACCAGAGGAGCUACAUCCACAUCUGGACAUAUAACUGAUCGUGAAUAUUGGGCCUGAUGCUUUGAUAGGAUAAGACUUUGCAGUAUGUUGGGAGGGGUUGAAAGAAUGUAAAUAAUUCAUUGCCAGAGGGCAGACUGUCGUUGACUCAAGAUGGUCAUGGUUUUAUUGCCACUUCUCUGAACAAGAGACAGAGUCUAUUUGCCGCCACCCCCACCCUCUCAUGAACUCUGGGCUGGCCUUGUGACUUGCUUGGACAAACAGAAGGCAACAAAGUUGCCGUGUGACUUUCAGACAAUAGUGUUCUGGAAAACCAGAUCUAUAAAAAAAUUUGUUAAAGCCCUAAUUUAGAUCACUUGCCUAUUUCUGUGGUGUAAAUACUCCCACCACGGCUGAUUUCAAGCUAUCAGCGUGAUAUCACCGACCAUGGAGUUGGGAAUAGACAAGCACAGCUGGCUUUCAGGAGCCUGUGCAAAUUGGCUCCAGCAUGUCACCACUCUCAGACCUUGUCCUUGAGAAGCUCUGUCAGCUUCCAUUUUUGCUUCCUUGAAAUCCACCCAACAUGAAGGAUCUUCAAGAUAGGCUCAUGAAUGAUGAGAGGCCGAAUGGAAAGAAAGGACAAGUAGAAAAGGAAGGAGCCUUAGGCAUUCUUGCCUCAAACUGGCUCCCAGCUAAGUACAGCUGUAUUAGGGACCCUGGCCAACAUUACAUGGAGCAGAAGACCACCUCACCAAUCCAGAGAAAUAUGAGAAAUAAUAAAUUGUUGUGCAUUGAAGCCACUAUAUUUUGGAGUGGUUCUUUUUUUUU